GCAUCUGAAAUUGAGAGGAGGUUUCAGGACGUUUACCCAGCCCUUUAGUGGGGAUCUGUCUGGGACUGUGCAGUCUGAAUCUGCAACUGUAAAAGGCAUGGUCCCUGGAAACAACCCUGGUGCUGUCCAGCAGCGUGUUGAACAGGAAGUUGUGUGUGUGAAUACAAGGUUCCAUAAAAUUCCUGAUGGAGAUCGUGGAGUGAAAAGACAUUAUCACAGAAUUCCAACAAGGCUUGAAGGCAGAAUUAUCUUUAGAAAACUAAGCCUGUAUUAAUAAAAAAAAAUAUGAAAAUAUAA
Molecule: long non-coding RNA, 297 nt
Organism: Homo sapiens (human)
Lineage: Eukaryota; Metazoa; Chordata; Mammalia; Primates; Hominidae
Exons: 3
Source: RefSeq, a predicted model, not a curated record